AGAACGAACGCUGGCGGCAUGCCUAAUACAUGCAAGUCGAACGAACUCUUCGGAGUUAGUGGCGCACGGGUGCGUAACGCGUGGGAAUCUGCCCCUUGGUUCGGAAUAACAGUUGGAAACGACUGCUAAUACCGGAUGAUGACGAAAGUCCAAAGAUUUAUCGCCAAGGGAUGAGCCCGCGUAGGAUUAGCUAGUUGGUGAGGUAAAGGCUCACCAAGGCAACGAUCCUUAGCUGGUCUGAGAGGAUGAUCAGCCACACUGGGACUGAGACACGGCCCAGACUCCGUACGGGAGGCAGCAGUAGGGAAUAUUGGACAAGUGGGACGAAAG
Molecule: ribosomal RNA, 330 nt
Filed under: uncultured soil bacterium
Lineage: Bacteria
Description: bacterial SSU rRNA
Rfam family: Bacterial small subunit ribosomal RNA
Source: RNAcentral